UGACUUGAGUNCAGAAGGGGAGAGUGGAAUNCCAUGUGUAGCGGUGAAAUGCGUAGAUAUAUGGAGGAACACCAGUGGCGAAAGCGGCUCUCUGNUCUGUCACUGACGCUGAGGCUUGAAAGCGUGGGUAGCGAACAGGAUUAGAUACCCUGGUAGUCCACGCCGUAAACGAUGAGUGCUAGGUGUUAGGCCCUUUCCGGGGCUUAGUGCCGGAGCUAACGCAAUAAGCACUCCGCCUGGGGAGUACGACCGCAAGGUUGAAACUCAAAGGAAUUGACGGGGGCCCGCACAAGCGGUGGAGCAUGUGGUUUAAUUCGAAGCAACGCGAAGAACCUUACCAGGUCUUGACAUCCCGAUGCUAUUCUUAGAGAUAGGAAGUUACUUCGGUACAUCGGAGACAGGUGGUGCAUGGUUGUCGUCAGCUCGUGUCGUGAGAUGUUGGGUUAAGUCCCGCAACGAGCGCAACCCUUAUUGUUAGUUGCCAUCAUUAAGUUGGGCACUCUAGCGAGACUGCCGGUAUAAACCGGAGGAAGGUGGGGAUGACGUCAAAUCAUCAUGCCCCUUAUGACCUGGGCUACACACGUGCUACAAUGGUCGGUACAACGAGUUGCGAGCCGGUGACGGCAAGCUAAUCUCUGAAAGCCGAUCUCAGUUCGGAUUGGAGGCUGCAACUCGCCUCCAUGAAGUCGGAAUCGCUAGUAAUCGCGGAUCAGCACGCCGCGGUGAAUACGUUCCCGGGCCUUGUACACACCGCCC
RNAcentral lists this ribosomal RNA (756 nucleotides) under uncultured bacterium. RNAcentral's name for it is "bacterial SSU rRNA". It matches the Rfam family "Bacterial small subunit ribosomal RNA", at positions 638 to 1395 of the family's 1533-position model. The record is from RNAcentral.